GACGAACGCUGGCGGCGUGCUUAACACAUGCAAGUCGAACGGAAAGGCCCUGCUUUUGUGGGGUGCUCGAGUGGCGAACGGGUGAGUAACACGUGAGUAACCUGCCCUUGACUUUGGGAUAACUACAGGAAACUGGGGCUAAUACCGGAUAGGAGCUCCUGCUGCAUGGUGGGGGUUGGAAAGUUUCGGCGGUUGGGGAUGGACUCGCGGCUUAUCAGCUUGUUGGUGGGGUAGUGGCUUACCAAGGCUUUGACGGGUAGGCGGCCUGAGAGGGUGACCGGCCACAUUGGGAAUGAGAUACGGGCCAGACUCCUACGGGAGGCAGCAGUGGGGAAUAUUGCACAAUGGGCGGAAGCCUGAUGCAGCAACGCCGCGUGCGGGAUGACGGCCUUCGGGUUGUAAACCGCUUUCGCCUGUGACGAAGCGUGAGUGACGGUAAUGGGUAAAGAAGCACCGGCUAACUACGUGCCAGCCGCCGCCGUAA
This 484-nucleotide ribosomal RNA is filed under the name uncultured bacterium. Its description in RNAcentral is "partial 16S ribosomal RNA". It matches the Rfam family "Bacterial small subunit ribosomal RNA", at positions 28 to 523 of the family's 1533-position model. The record is from RNAcentral.